This is a non-coding RNA of Acanthosepion pharaonis, 99 nucleotides long. The record is from the annotation of a GenBank genome assembly. Lineage: Eukaryota; Metazoa; Mollusca; Cephalopoda; Sepiida; Sepiidae.
UUGAAAGACCGGUUCUCGUACGAUCCCCCGAAGUUAAGCAAAGCCGAGCUUGGUCAGUACCUAGAUGGGUGACCACUUGGAAAUACCAAGUGUUGUAAU